Regulatory RNA element from Neotoma lepida (desert woodrat), 52 nucleotides. The record is from Rfam. NCBI's taxonomy places the organism in Eukaryota, Metazoa, Chordata, Mammalia, Rodentia, Cricetidae.
GGGAAACAGGCAAAGGGGCCAGCCUCAGGCCCCAAAACAAUGUUGUGGGGCA